This 591-nucleotide long non-coding RNA is filed under the name Crocodylus porosus (Australian saltwater crocodile). RNAcentral's name for it is "lncRNA (ENSCPRG00005017625.1)". The record is from RNAcentral. Lineage: Eukaryota; Metazoa; Chordata; Crocodylia; Crocodylidae.
AAAAGACCCAGGAUAAAUAUUUGCCUUAAAGCUGCAGACGAGCUGCCCACAACCACACCUUCGGAGGUCUGAAGACAGAAAUAUGUGCACUAUUCAGAGAUGUUAUCUCCGCUCAGAACGGUUUCCUCCUAAAUUAAACAGACUGGUGAAGAUAUGAGAAGCAUCUUGAGCCAAAUAUAUACAGAUUUGUACACAGAAGCCUUCUGAUCCCCGAGCAACCCACAGUAAAAUCUUGUCACAACGGAAUAAUAAACAUUUAUCAUAUUUUUCAACUUUCCAAAGUUCGUAGUGUACCAAGACAAUUGCAACUGGCUCUCUUCGUUUGUCUCUCAGAUGCAGAAAGCAACAGCACAAUAUUGUGCCAUAAUGAAUUCUUCAUCAUGAUUGAAAAAGUGCAAAAGGGAAACAUGUUUAAUAGGCUGAAAAAUAAGAAAGACCAGCUAAUGGAAGAGAGCCACCAGAUCUCGUUCUUAGAGAGAAGCACUCUUGCAUCAUACCGUCUGUUGGGAGGGAGAGAUGUGGAGACACAACGGAACGACGUUGAAUGUUUUCUGUGUGUGUGUGCAUGCGCACACGUGAGUGAGACCCGAU